Molecule: ribosomal RNA, 480 nt
Filed under: Enterococcus casseliflavus
Lineage: Bacteria; Bacillati; Bacillota; Bacilli; Lactobacillales; Enterococcaceae
Description: bacterial SSU rRNA
Rfam family: Bacterial small subunit ribosomal RNA
Source: RNAcentral
GACGAACGCUGGCGGCGUGCCUAAUACAUGCAAGUCGAACGCUUUUUCUUUCACCGGAGCUUGCUCCACCGAAAGAAAAAGAGUGGCGAACGGGUGAGUAACACGUGGGUAACCUGCCCAUCAGAAGGGGAUAACACUUGGAAACAGGUGCUAAUACCGUAUAACACUAUUUUCCGCAUGGAAGAAAGUUGAAAGGCGCUUUUGCGUCACUGAUGGAUGGACCCGCGGUGCAUUAGCUAGUUGGUGAGGUAACGGCUCACCAAGGCAACGAUGCAUAGCCGACCUGAGAGGGUGAUCGGCCACACUGGGACUGAGACACGGCCCAGACUCCUACGGGAGGCAGCAGUAGGGAAUCUUCGGCAAUGGACGAAAGUCUGACCGAGCAACGCCGCGUGAGUGAAGAAGGUUUUCGGAUCGUAAAACUCUGUUGUUAGAGAAGAACAAGGAUGAGAGUAAAACGUUCAUCCCUAGACGGAUCUA